This 1385-nucleotide ribosomal RNA is filed under the name metagenome. RNAcentral describes it as "bacterial SSU rRNA". It matches the Rfam family "Bacterial small subunit ribosomal RNA". The record is from RNAcentral.
AGAGUUUGAUCAUGGCUCAGGACGAACGCUGGCGGCACGCUUAACACAUGCAAGUCGAACGAGAGAAGAGGAGCUUGCUUUUCUGAUCUAGUGGCGGACGGGUGAGUAACACGUGAGCAAUCUGCCUUUCAGAGGGGGAUACCGAUUGGAAACGAUCGUUAAUACCGCAUAACAUAAUUGAACCGCAUGAUUUGAUUAUCAAAGAUUUAUCGCUGAAAGAUGAGCUCGCGUCUGAUUAGCUAGUUGGUAAGGUAACGGCUUACCAAGGCGACGAUCAGUAGCCGGACUGAGAGGUUGAUCGGCCACAUUGGGACUGAGACGCGGCCCAGACUCCUACGGGAGGCAGCAGUGGGGAAUAUUGCACAAUGGAGGAAACUCAGAUGCAGCGAUGCCGCGUGAGGGAAGAAGGUUUUAGGAUUGUAAACCUCUGUCUUCAGGGACGAAAAAAGACGGUACCUGAGGAGGAAGCUCCGGCUAACUACGUGCCAGCAGCCGCGGUAAUACGUAGGGAGCGAGCGUUGUCCGGAAUUACUGGGUGUAAAGGGAGCGUAGGCGGGAUCGCAAGUCAGAUGUGAAAACUAUGGGCUUAACCCAUAAACUGCAUUUGAAACUGUGGUUCUUGAGUGAAGUAGAGGUAAGCGGAAUUCCUAGUGUAGCGGUGAAAUGCGUAGAUAUUAGGAGGAACAUCAGUGGCGAAGGCGGCUUACUGGGCUUUAACUGACGCUGAGGCUCGAAAGCGUGGGGAGCAAACAGGAUUAGAUACCCUGGUAGUCCACGCCGUAAACGAUGAUUACUAGGUGUGGGGGGACUGACCCCUUCCGUGCCGCAGCAAACGCAAUAAGUAAUCCACCUGGGGAGUACGACCGCAAGGUUGAAACUCAAAGGAAUUGACGGGGGCCCGCACAAGCAGUGGAGUAUGUGGAUUAAUUCGAAGCAACGCGAAGAACCUUACCAGGUCUUGACAUCGUAUGCAUAGCUCAGAGAUGAGUGAAAUCUCUUCGGAGACAUAUAGACAGGUGGUGCAUGGUUGUCGUCAGCUCGUGUCGUGAGAUGUUGGGUUAAGUCCCGCAACGAGCGCAACCCUUACUGUUAGUUGCUACGCAAGAGCACUCUAGCAGGACUGCCGUUGACAAAACGGAGGAAGGUGGGGAUGACGUCAAAUCAUCAUGCCCCUUAUGACCUGGGCCUCACACGUACUACAAUGGCUGUCAACAGAGGGAAGCAAAGCCGCGAGGUGGAGCGAACCCCUAAAAGCAGUCUUAGUUCGGAUUGUAGGCUGCAACCCGCCUACAUGAAGUCGGAAUCGCUAGUAAUCGCAGAUCAGCAUGCUGCGGUGAAUACGUUCCCGGGCCUUGUACACACCGCCCGUCACGCCAUGGGAGUCG